UACAGAGGGUGCGAGCGUUGUUCGGAAUUACUGGGCGUAAAGCGCGCGCAGGCGGCCUUUUAAGUCUACCCGUGAAAUGCCGGAGCUCAACUCCGUGCACGCCGGGGGAUACUGGGAGGCUUGAGUACGGAAGAGGCGAGUGGAAUUCCUGGUGUAGCGGUGAAAUGCGCAGAUAUCAGGAGGAACACCAAUUGCGAAGGCAGCUCGCUGGGACGUUACUGACGCUGAGACGCGAAAGCGUGGGGAGCAAACAGG
RNAcentral lists this ribosomal RNA (255 nucleotides) under uncultured bacterium. RNAcentral's name for it is "partial 16S ribosomal RNA". It matches the Rfam family "Bacterial small subunit ribosomal RNA", at positions 524 to 776 of the family's 1533-position model. The record is from RNAcentral.